CUUUCAGUUGUGAGGAAGGUAGUGUAGUUAAUAGCUGCAUUAUUUGACGUUAGCGACAGAAGAAGCACCGGCUAACUCCGUGCCAGCAGCCGCGGUAAUACGGAGGGUGCGAGCGUUAAUCGGAAUUACUGGGCGUAAAGCGCAUGCAGGUGGUUUGUUAAGUCAGAUGUGAAAGCCCGGGGCUCAACCUCGGAAUUGCAUUUGAAACUGGCAGACUAGAGUACUGUAGAGGGGGGUAGAAUUUCAGGUGUAGCGGUGAAAUGCGUAGAGAUCUGAAGGAAUACCGGUGGCGAAGGCGGCCCCCUGGACAGAUACUGACACUCAGAUGCGAAAGCGUGGGGAGCAAACAGGAUUAGAUACCCUGGUAGUCCACGCCGUAAACGAUGUCUACUUGGAGGUUGUGGCCUUGAGCCGUGGCUUUCGGAGCUAACGCGUUAAGUAGACCGCCUGGGGAGUACGGUCGCAAGAUUAAAACUCAAAUGAAUUGACGGGGGCCCGCACAAGCGGUGGAGCAUGUGGUUUAAUUCGAUGCAACGCGAAGAACCUUACCUACUCUUGACAUCCAGAGAACUUUCCAGAGAUGGAUUGGUGCCUUCGGGAACUCUGAGACAGGUGCUGCAUGGCUGUCGUCAGCUCGUGUUGUGAAAUGUUGGGUUAAGUCCCGCAACGAGCGCAACCCUUAUCCUUGUUUGCCAGCGAGUAAUGUCGGGAACUCCAGGGAGACUGCCGGUGAUAAACCGGAGGAAGGUGGGGACGACGUCAAGUCAUCAUGGCCCUUACGAGUAGGGCUACACACGUGCU
Molecule: ribosomal RNA, 801 nt
Filed under: Vibrio parahaemolyticus
Lineage: Bacteria; Pseudomonadati; Pseudomonadota; Gammaproteobacteria; Vibrionales; Vibrionaceae
Description: bacterial SSU rRNA
Rfam family: Bacterial small subunit ribosomal RNA
Source: RNAcentral